UGAGUACGAGAUGCUACGGCAUCGAAGCAGUCUAUGUCAUACUUCCAAGAAAAGCUUGCACUGUCAUAAACAAAGAAUGCCUGUACCAUAACCGACACAGGUGGGUAGGUAGAGUAUACUAAGGGGCGCGAGAUAACUCUCUCUAAGGAACUCGGCAAAAUGACUCCGUAACUUCGGGAGAAGGAGUGCCUUAUUUCUAAGGUUGCAAUAACAAGAUCCAAGCAACUGUUUACCAAAAACACAGGUCUCCGCUAAGUCGUAAGACGAUGUAUGGGGGCUGACGCCUGCCCAGUGCCAGAAGGUUAAAGAAGUUGGUUAGCAUUAGCGAAGCUGAUAACUGAAGCCCUGGUGAACGGCGGCCGUAACUAUAACGGUCCUAAGGUAGCGAAAUUCCUUGUCGGGUAAGUUCCGACCCGCACGAAAGGCGUAAUGAUUUGGAUACUGUCUCGGAGAGGGGCUCGGUGAAAUAGACUUGUCUGUGAAGAUGCGGACUACCUGCACCUGGACAGAAAGACCCUAUGAAGCUUUACUGUAACUUGAGAUUGAAAUUGGACUUUAUUUGCGCAGUAUAGGUGGGAGGCGUUGAGAAUAAUCUUGCGGGAUUGUUGGAGCCAUCAGUGAGAUACCACUCUUGUAAUGUUAGAUUUCUAACUUUGUAUCAUUAUCUGGUCAAAGAACAGUUUCAGGCGGGCAGUUUGACUGGGGCGGUCGCCUCCCAAAGGGUAACGGAGGCGCACAAAGGUUUCCUCUGAACGGGUAGAAAUCGUAUCAAGAGUGUAAAGGCAUAAGGAAGCUUGACUGUAAGACCUACAAGUCGAGCAGGGACGAAAGUCGGUCUUAGUGAUCUGACGGUGCUGAGUGGAAAGGCCGUCACUCAACGGAUAAAAGUUACUCUAGGAUAACAGGCUGAUCUCCCCCAAGAGUUCACAUCGACGGGGAGGUUUGGCACCUCGAUGUCGGCUCAUCGCAUCCUGGGGCGGUAGUCCGUCCCAAGGGUUGGGCUGUUCGCCCAUGAAAGCGGUACGCGAGCUGGGUUCAGAACGUCGUGAGACAGUCCGGUCCAUAUCCGGUGUAGGCGUUAGAAUAUUGAGAGGAGCCUUCUCUAGUACGAGAGGACCGAGAAGGACAUACCUCUGGUGUACCAGUUAUCGUGCCAACGGUAAACGCUGGGUAGCUAUGUAUGGAGUGGAUAACCGCUGAAAGCAUCUAAGUGGGAAGCCCACCUCAAGAUAAGUAUUCUCAUC
This 1244-nucleotide ribosomal RNA is filed under the name metagenome. RNAcentral's name for it is "bacterial LSU rRNA". It matches the Rfam family "Bacterial large subunit ribosomal RNA", at positions 1564 to 2818 of the family's 2925-position model. The record is from RNAcentral.